CGGGAUAUAGCGCAGCUUGGUAGCGCGCCUGCUUUGGGAGCAGGAUGACGCAGGUUCAAAUCCUGCUAUCCCGAC
Molecule: transfer RNA, 75 nt
Filed under: Xiphosiphonia pinnulata
Lineage: Eukaryota; Rhodophyta; Florideophyceae; Ceramiales; Rhodomelaceae
Description: tRNA-Pro
Rfam family: tRNA
About the family: Transfer RNA (tRNA) molecules are approximately 80 nucleotides in length. Their secondary structure includes four short double-helical elements and three loops (D, anti-codon, and T loops). Further hydrogen bonds mediate the characteristic L-shaped molecular structure. tRNAs have two regions of fundamental functional importance: the anti-codon, which is responsible for specific mRNA codon recognition, and the 3' end, to which the tRNAs corresponding amino acid is attached (by aminoacyl-tRNA synthetases). tRNAs cope with the degeneracy of the genetic code in two manners: having more than one tRNA (with a specific anti-codon) for a particular amino acid; and 'wobble' base-pairing, i.e. permitting non-standard base-pairing at the 3rd anti-codon position.
Source: RNAcentral